UUCCUUCGGGAACGGAUUAGCGGCGGACGGGUGAGUAACACGUGGGUAACCUGCCUCAAAGAGGGGGAUAGCCUCCCGAAAGGGAGAUUAAUACCGCAUAACAUUGUUUUCUCGCAUGAGAAGAUAAUCAAAGGAGCAAUCCGCUUUGAGAUGGACCCGCGGCGCAUUAGCUAGUUGGUGAGGUAACGGCUCACCAAGGCGACGAUGCGUAGCCGACCUGAGAGGGUGAUCGGCCACAUUGGAACUGAGACACGGUCCAGACUCCUACGGGAGGCAGCAGUGGGGAAUAUUGCGCAAUGGGGGAAACCCUGACGCAGCAACGCCGCGUGAGUGAUGAAGGUCUUCGGAUUGUAAAGCUCUGUCUUUGGGGACGAUAAUGACGGUACCCAAGGAGGAAGCCACGGCUAACUACGUGCCAGCAGCCGCGGUAAUACGUAGGUGGCAAGCGUUGUCCGGAUUUACUGGGCGUAAAGAGUAUGUAGGCGGAUAUUUAAGUCAGAUGUG
Molecule: ribosomal RNA, 504 nt
Filed under: uncultured Clostridium sp.
Lineage: Bacteria; Bacillati; Bacillota; Clostridia; Eubacteriales; Clostridiaceae
Description: bacterial SSU rRNA
Rfam family: Bacterial small subunit ribosomal RNA
Source: RNAcentral